This 113-nucleotide ribosomal RNA is filed under the name Periophthalmus magnuspinnatus. Lineage: Eukaryota; Metazoa; Chordata; Actinopteri; Gobiiformes; Gobiidae. The record is from RNAcentral.
CAUUGAUACCUGCUUGUCAGUGCCCAAUCUCACCUGAUCUCAGAAGCUAAACAGGGUUGAGCCUGGUUAGUACUUGGAAGGGACACCAAUGGGAUUACCAGGUGCCUCAGUGG